Molecule: non-coding RNA, 1642 nt
Organism: Pelobates cultripes (western spadefoot toad)
Lineage: Eukaryota; Metazoa; Chordata; Amphibia; Anura; Pelobatidae
Source: the annotation of a GenBank genome assembly
CACCCCUUUGUGUGUCCUAGUGCAGUGUGAUGAUAGUGUCCAAUGUUAUUCUUCUUUCCUUAUAUAGAUUCCCAUCUUGCUGGAAAUAAUUGCCCUGUCGUGGUUCUUGCUAGCAUUAUAUUAUUAUUCUUUUUUUUUCUGUUGCUGACCCGGUUUCAUAAUUUGACUAUUCUUACUCUCUGUAUCCCUUUGACCUUGGCUUGUUUACUUGCUCUUGUGUACCUCUGUAUCCCUUGACCUAGGCAUCCUUUAUUACUACGAUUUCUUGCCUUUUUAGGCAUACAUUAAGCCCGGCCACUCUAAAGUCCGGUAUACGUACCCUGUUCUUCCUUCUAAUUCGUCUAAUAUCCUUCACCCUGUGUGUAGGGGUUACCCCAAUCCUGACACAGAUAUAUUGGCUAUGCACAUGUGGCUUUCUGGUCCUUUCUAUGCCAUGACCUAUCAGUUGUGGACAUCGACUUUGCCUUCAGUGAUGCCAGACUCUGUUUGUCUUUUUACUGUCCAGAGGUCUGUGUUGUUGUUGGCAAGACCUUUAGUAUCUGUGGAAGAGUCUAAAUUGUUUGAGUAUGUUUCUCUGGGAGCUCCUUCCACAUUUCAGCUACUACAAGAUCCCUCACAAUUGUUACUAAAAUGUCGUGCUGUUUUCACACAACUCAUUGUUCAGCGAAUACUUUUCUUUAUUUUUGUUUUAAAUAACUUUCACAAAAAUCACACAUUGUUCAUUGAAUGUUUUCUGCAUGAGCUUAACCUAAUUUGCCUGAUAAUUAGUAAAUGCCUGAUAAUGAGAGUAAAUCUUCUAGAACUCGAAGAUUGGAGAAACUGAUAAGCUGCUGGUUGAAAUUGGAAGUUUCGUCCUAGAUUUUCACUGCAUUACUCAUUGAUGGCUUUUGUGGCACUGGAGACUUGCAUUAUCAGUUGGAUACAGAUAAAUUGAGAAACAUAUGGCUAAUGUGGCACUGGCGGCUUGUGUGUUCAGUUGCACACAGAUAAAUUGAGCAACUUAAGGCUAAUGUAGCACUGGAGGCUUGCAUGUUCAGAUGGACACAGAUAAAGUGACAAUUUAUGGUGGUUGGGCAAUGGUUAGGUAGACAGCAUAUACUUAAAUUUCUGCUGAAUAGAAUGAUCAUGCAGUUCUAAAGUUUUUUCUUUGUUUUGCUAUAUAAAAUAAUUGUGGCUAUUCAAACCAAGUAAUUCAGCUGACCUGUAGGUCAUUGACUACUGCUACUCCCAUCUUUAAAGGUGAUUUCUUAAAAUAAUUUAUAACGAUCAUAGCAGGGAACUGUGAUUUUCCCGGAUUUUUAAUACUAUAUACACUCAUUACAAUAUUUAGCAAAUAUGUAUUUGUCAGGCAUGAAAAGUAGAAUUAACUGAAGAAUUCCAUAGUUGUUUAUCAUGCAGACUGCCGCCUCAUUUCAGCUCCCUGUCAAUCAGUGGUAAAAUCUUUGUACUUUGUACUUGGCCGUUAAAGCAUAGCAAUAAAAGCUUGUAGAGAACAGGAGAAAUGAAACACAAUUAAGAUUUGCAAUAUUUGCCCUGGCUUCACCCUAUCUUAACAACAAUAUGAUGUAAUUUACAAAAAUAUUAAUAUAAUUUUAAAAGAAAAUUAAAUAUCUGAUCAAAAAGGGUUAAAAUGCAUUAUAGC